Molecule: long non-coding RNA, 487 nt
Filed under: Agrilus planipennis (emerald ash borer)
Lineage: Eukaryota; Metazoa; Arthropoda; Insecta; Coleoptera; Buprestidae
Description: uncharacterized LOC108738041, transcript variant X2
Source: RNAcentral
UAUGAGCAUUACAAAUCAUAUCAGUUUUUCAAAAGAUUUUUUUAAGCAAUGCAAAUUUAAAAAUGAGUAAGAAUUGUUAAAAUAUGUUUUAAAUAAAGGAAUAUUUUAACUUGAGAGAGCUGAGAAAUGUAAGGUUAAUAGAAAAUGAGAAAAUAUUUAACCUUUUUAACUUUCGAUUAAGAUUAUGAUAAUAGACAAUUCACAAUCACUGAUGAUAAAUAAGAGAGUAUUGAACUACAUUUUGAUGCUACUGAAAAAAUAAGUUGUCUGCUGUGGUGUACUUGCUGUUAACUUUUCACUUUGGAGGAUCAUGUGGUUAAUUAAGAUACAUACACAGGCAGUAUACAAAAUAUGUUGGGUAUAAUAUACCCCCUAUAGAAGUAAGCAGCCCACCUGAACACAGGUCUCAUUAGCUAAAUUAAACAACACGCUACUGAAGUGAAACUUCUUCAAACAUACCGGGAUAGGGGUUAAGGAAUUGGUUUAA